This 505-nucleotide ribosomal RNA is filed under the name Heterocephalobus elongatus. RNAcentral's name for it is "SSU rRNA". It matches the Rfam family "Eukaryotic small subunit ribosomal RNA", at positions 88 to 590 of the family's 1831-position model. The record is from RNAcentral. Lineage: Eukaryota; Metazoa; Nematoda; Chromadorea; Rhabditida; Cephalobidae.
CGCGAAUGGCUCAUUACAACAGCUAAAAUCUACUUGAUCUUGACACAAUCCUACUUGGAUAACUGUGGUAAUUCUAGAGCUAAUACAUGCAUUAAAGCUCUGACCUCACGGGACGAGUGCAUUUAUUAGAACAAAACCAAGCGGCUUCAGCUGUUUUCGGUUGACUCAUAGUAACUGAGCUGAUCGCAUGGUCUUGCACCGGCGACGUGUCUUUCGAGUAUCUGCCGUAUCAACUUUCGAUGGUAGUGUAUCUGACUACCAUGGUGAUCACGCGUAACGGAGAAUAAGGGUUCGACUCCGGAGAGUUCGCCUGAGAAAUCGCGAACACAUCUAAGGAAGGCAGCAGGCGCGAAAAUUACCCACUCUCAGCACGAGGAGGUAGUGACGAAAAAUAACGAGACCGUUCUCUUAUGAGGCCGGUCAUCGGAAUGGGUACAAUUUAAACCCUUUAACGAGUAUCUAUGAGAGGGCAAGUCUGGUGCCAGCAGCCGCGGUAAUUCCAGCU